This 1022-nucleotide small RNA is filed under the name Arabidopsis thaliana (thale cress). RNAcentral's name for it is "ATSL053460". Lineage: Eukaryota; Viridiplantae; Streptophyta; Magnoliopsida; Brassicales; Brassicaceae. The record is from RNAcentral.
UCAAAACCAAAGAUACUCUAUUUGUACUAUCAAAUUAGAGACAAACAUUCCCAUGCGGAAUUAUGUGGGCUCCAAAUAAAAAAAGAUGAAUAUGAUAGAAGGGGAAAAAAAAUUGGGAAAUUUACUAGAGUAACCCAUAUUUUAUACAUAAUGACCCAAAAGGAAUGCUAAAAAUAUGAGUUAUUUGAGUAAUAAUUAUACCUAAAUUAUCCUUGUUUUCCUUUGCAGAGAAAAACAAUAUUACAGAAAUGCCAUUACUAUUUAAUUCCAGCAAGGCAAUAAAACCAUAUUUAUUUACGAAAAUGCCAUCGUCGUUUUUGGUAAAUUUGUGGCUCUUGUUGCGACGGAUUUGUUAUCGAUCACAGAUUUGUUGGUCAACCACAGAUUUUUUACAACAGACUUGUCUUGUACCACAGACUUUACUGUGUUAUGUUACGCCAGACUUUUUUUUUUCGCAGAUUUUUUAACCGUGACUGAUUUGUUUCAUAUAGUUUCCACAGAUUUUAUUUAAAUUUCAAAAGUAAGAAUGUUGAAACCAAAUCUGUCACUGAUUUGUUUUCCGGACCACAGAUUUUUCUUUAUGGUGGCAACAGAUUUUCUAUUUGCACCCAAAAAUCUGUUGUGUUAUAACAGAUUUGUUAACCUCGAAAAAUGUUAUAUAGGCAUGACAGAGUUGUUUUGUGUAAUCACAGAUUUAAUUAACUUGUUAACAAAUCUGGUGUUUUACAACAGAUUUUUGUUAAAAAAGAAAAUUACUACACAGUCACAUAGUGAUAACAGAUUUGUUUUUAGUGAUGACAGUUUUGUUUUUCAGUGUCAAAGCAUAACAGAUUUACUCAUGUCAAUGUUAUGGCCGAUUUGUUUAUGACUAGAAUAACCUUUUUAGUAAUAACAGACUUUUUUUGGCAGAUUUAUUUUUAAAAUUUCGAAAUUUUUUGUUAUAUGAGAUUUAUUAGCUAGCCCUCAAUUAAAUUAUUUCCUGGUCUAAUUGUAUGUUAAAUCCGGUUUGACUGGAUUUUUUU